AUUGAACGCUGGCGGCAGGCCUAACACAUGCAAGUCGAGCGGAGCGGCGGACGGGCGAGUAAUGCCUAGGAAUCUGCCUGGUCGUUGGGGAUAACGUCCGGACACGGGCGCUAAUACCACACACUAUUAGAUGAGCCUAAGUCCGCUUAGCUAGUUGGUGGGGUAAAGGCCUACCAAGGCGACGAUCCGUAACUGGUCUGAGAGGAUUAUCAGUCACACUGGAACUGAGACACGGUCCAGACUCCUACGGGAGGCAGCAGUGGGGAAGAUUGGACAAUGGGCGAAAGCCUGAUCCAGCCAUGCCGCGUGUGUGAAGAAGGUCUUCGGAUUGUAAAGCACUUUAAGUUGGGAAGCGUUACCAACAGAAUAAGCACCGGCUAACUUCGUGCCAGCAGCCGCGGUAAUAC
Molecule: ribosomal RNA, 407 nt
Filed under: uncultured bacterium
Lineage: Bacteria
Description: partial 16S ribosomal RNA
Rfam family: Bacterial small subunit ribosomal RNA
Source: RNAcentral